This 845-nucleotide long non-coding RNA is filed under the name Pongo abelii (Sumatran orangutan). RNAcentral's name for it is "lincRNA". The record is from RNAcentral. Lineage: Eukaryota; Metazoa; Chordata; Mammalia; Primates; Hominidae.
CACAUCCUAUCUGCAGCCUCUAGUCCAAGGCUCCCAAGGGCCCCACGAUAUCUGAUGCAUCUUAGCACAGAGCAAGCUAAUGCUGACUCAUGCCACAUCCCUGUUACACACAAGAGGUCAGAGAGGAGGCAAAGCAGAGCAGUUUUCCUCUGAGCCAGACCUCAGAGGUGGCCGUGGUAUUUUUAUUUUUCCUUCCACCAAACAAAAGGACCUGUGUAAAGCAAGGCAUCAUCUUACUGCAAGGGGAGACAUCGCUGGGGUCUGGUUAGAAGAUCCGGCUCUGUUUUCUCCAAUGAAGGUCUUUAUAGGAAAUCUGCAUUAGUGCCUUGUCCAUGUUCAUCGACCCUCUGCUUCACGGCAGAAGGGCACUGACUUGAAGGCCCCUAAGCAGCGAAGGAAGGGGAGCUUCUGUCCCUUCCCUAGCUGGCUUCCCUGGCACAUGCUGGUUUCCCACCAAUCCUGUGGUGCACGUCAUGACCAGGGGAGGAAAGAAUUCAGCUGGACCACCUCAAGGCCUGUGUGAUGGAGUUGAAAGCUUUGCUGAUGUACAUGUUGGUGGUCAAGGAAAGCUUUCUGAACACUUACCUGGUGCCCACAGAGGCUCUGAGAGCUGGAAGCUGGAAAGAGUCAGUCUGGGGUCCUAAAAGGUAUCUUCUCUUCAGUGCUGACAUCAGGGACAUAUUGAUGAUAGAAACAGGGUCCCUGCGUGGCCACAGGCACCAUUAAUUGGUUCAGUUUUCUUCCAUUUCUCCUGAGCUCACCCUGACCCUACGCACUGCUGACCAGGAGUUCUAACCUGCAGCAUCGUGGGUGGGCCCACCUUGCAGCCUCAUCAGGGUUGAGUU